Molecule: ribosomal RNA, 1392 nt
Filed under: Triticum aestivum (bread wheat)
Lineage: Eukaryota; Viridiplantae; Streptophyta; Magnoliopsida; Poales; Poaceae
Description: partial small subunit ribosomal RNA
Source: RNAcentral
AUGGCGCUACAGAGAAAACCUUGGGUGGCCGCUAAGGGAAUUUCUGAUCGAGACGAAGAAGGUGUUGGGGGCCGAACGCAAAAAGAGAAGAUGGCAAGGUGGAGUGAGCUCAAGGUGGUGGAGGAUGAGAACUUUGCCACAAGUUCUUCUUUGGGCCAUAUUCCGUCACUUGCACACCGCUCAGUGGUGCAUGAUUCAUUUAGUUGGGAAAAGGAGGAGAGCCUUCUUAGCACUUCCAUUCUUAUUUUUGGUCAUAUGCAUGUUUCUGCAGCUGAUGAGCUCAUGAACGGAAAGGUUCAAGCCAUGGUCAUCUCGCCAGAGACAUCACCUGAAGCCGAGCUAUUCGCCAACCUCGCGAAGCGCAGCAGCAUCCCGAUCCUUUCCUUCUCGGCCACCUCGCUGGCAUCAAUUCCGUCGCAGGCACGUUUCUUUGUGCACAGUGCAGCCAACACCAACUCCCAGGCCGCGCCCGUUGCAUCCAUCCUUGAGGCAUUCCAAUGGCGCGCGGCCGUCCUGCUACUCGAGGAGUCCACCUACGGCAUCAGCAUUGUCUCGGCAUUGAUCCACGAGUUCCAGGGGCACGGGCACGGGCACCGCGUACGCGGCAUAAUGGACAGCGUGGCUGUGCCAGCCGACGCGACAGACAGCCGCCUCGACGUAGUGUUUCUUGCAGUGAAGAACAUGCCGGCGCGGGUGGUCGUCGUGCAUGUGACUUCCGCUCUGGCUGUGCGCCUCUUCCGCCGGGCCAUGGCCGCCGGCAUGAUGUCGGAGGGGUACGUCUGGAUCGCCACAUCCGCCGUGGGCGAUGCGGUGGACAGUCUCAGCCCCGGCGACCUCGACUGCCUGCAGGGGGUCGUCAGCCUGCGGGUCCACGUGCAGGCAACGGAGCAAGUUAGAAACUUCUCAAGACGGUUCAAGCAGAGGUUUCGGCAGGAGAACCCGGCUACCCAUGACACCGUGAGCGUGCCGGUGUGGCUACUCUGGCUGUAUGACACGGCAUGGGCAACCACCACGGCGGCCGACAGGUCCUUCCGAACGACGACGCACGCAGCUGGAACGGGACUUGCCGAUGCCGUGCUCAGCACCAGGUUCCAUGGCCUGGCUGGAAGUUUCAGGCUGGUCGAUGGGCAGCGGCAGAUCCCAGCAACAUACGAGAUCGUGAAUAUCAUAGGCGCCGGAGCGAGGACGGUCGGGGUGGAGCGAGUCCCCAAAUGGGCGUCCGCUUCGCGUGGCUGUCCCGGUGAAGCGUGGAUUCAGCCAAUUUGUGAACAUUUCCGGCGAUCCAAGGACGGGAAGAGAAAUUAUCACCGGCUACUGCAUCGACGUAUUCCAUGCAGCCACGGCGAAAUUGGCCCAUCCAGUCGCGUAUCAGUACGUGCCAGUCAACGAUAA